Molecule: ribosomal RNA, 831 nt
Filed under: uncultured Flavobacterium sp.
Lineage: Bacteria; Pseudomonadati; Bacteroidota; Flavobacteriia; Flavobacteriales; Flavobacteriaceae
Description: bacterial SSU rRNA
Rfam family: Bacterial small subunit ribosomal RNA
Source: RNAcentral
GGAUGAACGCUAGCGGCAGGCUUAACACAUGCAAGUCGAGGGGUAGAAGAAGCUUGCUUCUUUGAGACCGGCGCACGGGUGCGUAACGCGUAUGCAAUCUACCUUUCACAGAGGGAUAGCCCAGAGAAAUUUGGAUUAAUACCUCAUAGUAAUACGACUUGGCAUCAAGAUGUAUUUAAAGAUUUAUCGGUGAAAGAUGAGCAUGCGUCCCAUUAGCUAGUUGGUAUGGUAACGGCAUACCAAGGCUACGAUGGGUAGGGGUCCUGAGAGGGAGAUCCCCCACACUGGUACUGAGACACGGACCAGACUCCUACGGGAGGCAGCAGUGAGGAAUAUUGGACAAUGGGCGCAAGCCUGAUCCAGCCAUGCCGCGUGCAGGAUGACGGUCCUAUGGAUUGUAAACUGCUUUUAUACAGGAAGAAACACCUCUACGUGUAGAGACUUGACGGUACUGUAAGAAUAAGGAUCGGCUAACUCCGUGCCAGCAGCCGCGGUAAUACGGAGGAUCCAAGCGUUAUCCGGAAUCAUUGGGUUUAAAGGGUCCGUAGGCGGUCAGGUAAGUCAGUGGUGAAAGCCCAUCGCUCAACGGUGGAACGGCCAUUGAUACUGCUUGACUUGAAUUAUUAGGAAGUAACUAGAAUAUGUAGUGUAGCGGUGAAAUGCUUAGAGAUUACAUGGAAUACCAAUUGCGAAGGCAGGUUACUACUAAUAUAUUGACGCUGAUGGACGAAAGCGUGGGUAGCGAACAGGAUUAGAUACCCUGGUAGUCCACGCCGUAAACGAUGGAUACUAGCUGUUGGGAGCAAUCUCAGUGGCUAAGCGAAAGUGAUA